RNAcentral lists this ribosomal RNA (118 nucleotides) under Staphylococcus warneri. RNAcentral's name for it is "partial 16S ribosomal RNA". It matches the Rfam family "Bacterial small subunit ribosomal RNA", at positions 1 to 113 of the family's 1533-position model. The record is from RNAcentral. Lineage: Bacteria; Bacillati; Bacillota; Bacilli; Caryophanales; Staphylococcaceae.
UUUAUGGAGAGUUUGAUCCUGGCUCAGGAUGAACGCUGGCGGCGUGCCUAAUACAUGCAAGUCGAGCGAACAGAUAAGGAGCUUGCUCCUUUGACGUUAGCGGCGGACGGGUGAGUAA